UCGGGUUGUAAAGCACUUUUGUCCGGAAAGAAAUCCUUGGCCCUAAUACGGUCGGGGGAUGACGGUACCGGAAGAAUAAGCACCGGCUAACUACGUGCCAGCAGCGCGGUAAUCGUAGGGUGCGAGCGUUAAUCGGAAUUACUGGGCGUAAAGCGUGCGCAGGCGGUUUGCUAAGACCGAUGUGAAAUCCCCGGGCUCAACCUGGGAACUGCAUUGGUGACUGGCAGGCUAGAGUAUGGCAGAGGGGGGUAGAAUUCCACGUGUAGCAGUGAAAUGCGUAGAGAUGUGGAGGAAUACCGAUGGCGAAGGCAGCCCCCUGGGCCAAUACUGACGCUCAUGCACGAAAGCGUGGGGAGCAAACAGGAUUAGAUACCCUGGUAGUCCACGCCCUAAACGAUGUCAACUAGUUGUUGGGGAUUCAUUUCCUUAGUAACGUAGCUAACGCGUGAAGUUGACCGCCUGGGGAGUACGGUCGCAAGAUUAAAACUCAAAGGAAUUGACGGGGACCCGCACAAGCGGUGGAUGAAUGUGGAUUAAUUCGAUGCAACGCGAAAAACCUUACCUACCCUUGACAUGGUCGGAAUCCCGCUG
RNAcentral lists this ribosomal RNA (591 nucleotides) under uncultured Burkholderia sp. RNAcentral describes it as "bacterial SSU rRNA". It matches the Rfam family "Bacterial small subunit ribosomal RNA", at positions 418 to 1003 of the family's 1533-position model. The record is from RNAcentral. Lineage: Bacteria; Pseudomonadati; Pseudomonadota; Betaproteobacteria; Burkholderiales; Burkholderiaceae.